RNAcentral lists this ribosomal RNA (827 nucleotides) under uncultured bacterium. RNAcentral's name for it is "bacterial SSU rRNA". It matches the Rfam family "Bacterial small subunit ribosomal RNA", at positions 56 to 932 of the family's 1533-position model. The record is from RNAcentral.
UGCAGUCGAACGAAGUAGCAAUACUUAGUGGCAGACGGGCGAGUAACAUGUAGGUAUCUUCCCUUUGGUGAGGAAUAACACGAGGAAACUUGUGCUAAUACCUCAUAAGUCUUUACGGAGAAAGCUUUAUGCGCCGAUGGAUGAGCCUGCACUUGAUUAGUUUGUUGGUAGGGUAAUGGCCUACCAAGACAAUGAUCAAUAGCUGAUUUGAGAGGAUGAUCAGCCACAUUGGGACUGAGACACGGCCCAAACUCCUACGGGAGGCAGCAGUAGGGAAUCUUGCACAAUGGGGGAAACCCUGAUGCAGCGAUGCCGCGUGAGUGAAGAAGGCCUUUGGGUUGUAAAGCUCUUUCGUCGGGGAAGAAAAUGACUGUACCCGAAUAAGAAGGUCCGGCUAACUUCGUGCCAGCAGCCGCGGUAAUACGAAGGGACCUAGCGUAGUUCGGAAUUACUGGGCUUAAAGAGUUCGUAGGUGGUUAAAAAAGUUGGUGGUGAAAUCCCAGAGCUUAACUCUGGAACUGCCAUCAAAACUUUUUAGCUAGAGUAUGAUAGAGGAAAGCAGANUUUCUAGUGUAGAGGUGAAAUUCGUAGAUAUUAGAAAGAAUACCAAUUGCGAAGGCAGCUUUCUGGAUCAUUACUGACACUGAGGAACGAAAGCAUGGGUAGCGAANANGAUUAGAUACCCUCGUAGUCCAUGCCGUAAACGAUGUGUGUUAGACGUUGGAAAUUUAUUUUCUGUGUCGCAGCGAAAGCAAUAAACACACCGCCNGGGGAGUACGANCGCANGGUUAAAACUCAAAUGAAUUGANNGGGACCCGCACANGUAG